RNAcentral lists this ribosomal RNA (514 nucleotides) under uncultured bacterium. RNAcentral describes it as "bacterial SSU rRNA". It matches the Rfam family "Bacterial small subunit ribosomal RNA", at positions 28 to 531 of the family's 1533-position model. The record is from RNAcentral.
GAUGAACGCUAGCGAUAGGCCUAACACAUGCAAGUCGAGGGGCAUCACAUGAAGUAGCAAUACGGAUGGUGGCGACCGGCGCACGGGUGAGUAACACGUAUGCAACCUGCCUUCAACAAGGGGAUAACCCGUUGAAAGACGGACUAAUACCCUAUAACACAGGGGUCCCGCAUGGGAAUAUUUGUUAAAGGACAACCGGUUGAAGAUGGGCAUGCGUUCCAUUAGCUAGUUGGCGGGGUAACGGCCCACCAAGGCAACGAUGGAUAGGGGAACUGAGAGGUUUAUCCCCCACACUGGUACUGAGACACGGACCAGACUCCUACGGGAGGCAGCAGUGAGGAAUAUUGGUCAAUGGACGCAAGUCUGAACCAGCCACGUCGCGUGAAGGAAGACGGCCCUACGGUUGUAAACUCUUUUGUAAGGGAAUAAAGUGUAGUACGCGUACUAUUUUGCAUGUACCUUACGAAUAAGGAUCGGCUAACUCCGUGCCAGCAGCCGCGGUAAUUCACUAUCG